UGAUAAUUAGUUUAAUCAAAAAACAAGUGAUUUCGACUCACUAGAUUAUGAUAUUUCAUAAUUAUCA
This 67-nucleotide transfer RNA is filed under the name Pedetes capensis (springhare). Its description in RNAcentral is "partial tRNA-Arg". It matches the Rfam family "tRNA". From Rfam's summary of the family: Transfer RNA (tRNA) molecules are approximately 80 nucleotides in length. Their secondary structure includes four short double-helical elements and three loops (D, anti-codon, and T loops). The record is from RNAcentral. Lineage: Eukaryota; Metazoa; Chordata; Mammalia; Rodentia; Pedetidae.